AACUUUUGACUUGACCUCAAAUCAGGUAGGACUACCCGCUGAACUUAAGCAUAUCAAUAAGCGGAGGA
This 68-nucleotide ribosomal RNA is filed under the name Schizophyllum commune. RNAcentral describes it as "partial 28S ribosomal RNA". The stretch from base 12 to 68 matches the Rfam family "Eukaryotic large subunit ribosomal RNA", at positions 1 to 57 of the family's 3401-position model. The record is from RNAcentral. Lineage: Eukaryota; Fungi; Basidiomycota; Agaricomycetes; Agaricales; Schizophyllaceae.